GCAUAUCAAUAAGCGGAGGAAAAGAAACCAACAGGGAUUGCCCUAGUAACGGCGAGUGAAGCGGCAACAGCUCAAAUUUGAAAUCUGGCCUUCGGGUCCGAGUUGUAAUUUGUAGAGGAUGCUUUUGGUGAGGUACCUUCCGAGUUCCCUGGAACGGGACGCCAUAGAGGGUGAGAGCCCCGUCUGGUCGGAUACCGAUCCUCUGUAAAGCUCCUUCGACGAGUCGAGUAGUUUGGGAAUGCUGCUCUAAAUGGGAGGUAUAUGUCUUCUAAAGCUAAAUAUUGGCCAGAGACCGAUAGCGCACAAGUAGAGUGAUCGAAAGAUGAAAAGCACUUUGAAAAGAGAGUUAAAAAGUACGUGAAAUUGUUGAAAGGGAAGCGCUCAUGACCAGACUUGGGCUUGGUUGAUCAUCCAGGGUUCUCCCUGGUGCACUCUUCCAGCCCAGGCCAGCAUCAGUUCGCUGUGGGGGAUAAAGGCUUCGGGAAUGUGGCUCCUCCGGGAGUGUUAUAGCCCGCUGCGUAAUACCCUGUGGUGGACUGAGGUUCGCGCAUCUGCAAGGAUGCUGGCGUAAUGGUCAUCAGCGACCCGUCUUGAAACACGGACC
This 604-nucleotide ribosomal RNA is filed under the name Ilyonectria sp. JCM 28169. RNAcentral's name for it is "eukaryotic LSU rRNA". It matches the Rfam family "Eukaryotic large subunit ribosomal RNA", at positions 38 to 667 of the family's 3401-position model. The record is from RNAcentral. Lineage: Eukaryota; Fungi; Ascomycota; Sordariomycetes; Hypocreales; Nectriaceae.